Molecule: transfer RNA, 64 nt
Filed under: Heterocephalus glaber (naked mole-rat)
Lineage: Eukaryota; Metazoa; Chordata; Mammalia; Rodentia; Bathyergidae
Rfam family: tRNA
About the family: Transfer RNA (tRNA) molecules are approximately 80 nucleotides in length. Their secondary structure includes four short double-helical elements and three loops (D, anti-codon, and T loops). Further hydrogen bonds mediate the characteristic L-shaped molecular structure. tRNAs have two regions of fundamental functional importance: the anti-codon, which is responsible for specific mRNA codon recognition, and the 3' end, to which the tRNAs corresponding amino acid is attached (by aminoacyl-tRNA synthetases). tRNAs cope with the degeneracy of the genetic code in two manners: having more than one tRNA (with a specific anti-codon) for a particular amino acid; and 'wobble' base-pairing, i.e. permitting non-standard base-pairing at the 3rd anti-codon position.
Source: Rfam by way of RNAcentral
AGGGAUUUAGCUCAGUGGUGUGGGUUUCUGCCUCACAAGCAGAAGGUCCCGAGUUCAAUCCCCA